Pezoporus flaviventris is the source of this 803-nucleotide long non-coding RNA. RefSeq lists it as uncharacterized. Lineage: Eukaryota; Metazoa; Chordata; Aves; Psittaciformes; Psittacidae. The record is from RefSeq and is a predicted model, not a curated record. The transcript is spliced from 3 exons.
AGAAGAGAUAACUGGAGCCAAAGCAAGUAAACCUGACAUGAUAAAAUCUGGAAGCUGUAUAGCAAAGGAGCAGAUUCCUGCCUUUCAACGUUCCAUCCAGACAACUAAAGGAAGAUUUUCAUUCCACUCACCAGCUGGUUUAUAAAAGGAAGAGAUCGAGGGAAUCCCUUGUGAUGCAGGAUAUUGAUACUCCUCUGCGAGGAUGAAUAGUGCUUCCAUGUUACCACACCACCUCAAAGGAGAAGCAGGGAUGGCGUGACCAUACUUCGUCCCCUGAGGCCUGACUUGAUUGUCAGCAGCUAAAGGCUACAUUGAAUUAACCCUCUGCUUACUCCAGAUUAGAAAAGCUGUGGGCUACCAGCUGUACUACUUCAAAGCUGGGCCUGAGCCCAGGACAUGGAACCCCCAGGAGCUGCUGGGUGCUCUGCAGAACUUGGUUCAUCUGUGUGACUGGGGACUCCAUCCCAUUUGCCAUGGAUGGCCAACCCUGACUUUCAUCUCCUCCUUGUUGUGGUCUCCAGAACUGCCUCACCUGUUCUGUGCUACCACUAAACUGGGUGGAAGGCAAGUAACGUUUUCUCUGCUACAAGGUCAGCUUUUCCCCAGUUCUUUGUUUUCCAGUUUAUGUGGGCAGGUGUUUCUUUGAGCCUCCAGUACUACAAAGAGUAACAGCACUUUCUGCUGGUUCUAGAACGUGUGCUUACAACGUAGACUGCUGAUAAAUCUUUGGGGAAAUUCUGGCUACAAAUGAAGUACGUCCUGGUUUGCUGUAGGCUAUAGUUUAUUGGGUGUGAAUUUAAGUA